This 576-nucleotide ribosomal RNA is filed under the name uncultured bacterium. RNAcentral describes it as "bacterial SSU rRNA". It matches the Rfam family "Bacterial small subunit ribosomal RNA", at positions 102 to 679 of the family's 1533-position model. The record is from RNAcentral.
ACGGGUGAGUAACACGUAGGAACUUGCCCUUUAGAGAGGGAUACCCAAGGGAAACUUUGGUUAAUACCGCAUAUACUCGAGAGAGGAAAGGAGCCUGUAAAGGUUCCGCUAAAGGAGAGGCCUGCGUCCGAUUAGCUAGUUGGUGUGGUAAGAGCGCACCAAGGCGAGGAUCGGUAACUGGUCUGAGAGGACGACCAGUCACACUGGGACUGAGACACGGCCCAGACUCCUACGGGAGGCAGCAGUGGGGAAUAUUGGACAAUGGGGGCAACCCUGAUCCAGCGAUGCCGCGUGGGUGAAGAAGGCCUUCGGGUUGUAAAGCCCUUUAGGUUGGGAAGAAAGGUUGCUGAGGAAAUGCAGUGACUAUGACGGUACCGACAGAAUAAGCACCGGCAAACUCUGUGCCAGCAGCCGCGGUAAUACAGAGGGUGCGAGCGUUAAUCGGAAUGACUGGGCGUAAAGGGCGCGUAGGCGGCAAGGCAAGUGUGAUGUGAAAGCCCUGGGCUUAACCUAGGAAGUGCAUUGCAAACGACCGAGCUGGAGUAUAAGAGAGGGUGGCGGAAUUUCCGGUGUAGC